RNAcentral lists this ribosomal RNA (468 nucleotides) under uncultured bacterium. Its description in RNAcentral is "partial 16S ribosomal RNA". It matches the Rfam family "Bacterial small subunit ribosomal RNA", at positions 28 to 507 of the family's 1533-position model. The record is from RNAcentral.
GACGAACGCUGGCGGCGUGCUUAACACAUGCAAGUCGAACGGAAAGGCCCUGCUUUUGUGGGGUGCUCGAGUGGCGAACGGGUGAGUAACACGUGAGUAACCUGCCCUUGACUUUGGGAUAACUUCAGGAAACUGGGGCUAAUACCGGAUAGGAGCUCCUGCUGCAUGGUGGGGGUUGGAAAGUUUCGGCGGUUGGGGAUGGACUCGCGGCUUAUCAGCUUGUUGGUGGGGUAGUGGCUUACCAAGGCUUUGACGGGUAGCCGGCCUGAGAGGGUGACCGGCCACAUUGGGACUGAGAUACGGCCCAGACUCCUACGGGAGACAGCAGUGGCGAAUAUUGCACAAUGGGCGGAAGCCUGAUGCAGCAACGCCGCGUGCGGGAUGACGGCCUUCGGGUUGUAAACCGCUUUCGCCUGUGACGAAGCGUGAGUGACGGUAAUGGGUAAAGAAGCACCGGCUAACUACGUG